Molecule: ribosomal RNA, 497 nt
Filed under: uncultured bacterium
Lineage: Bacteria
Description: partial 16S ribosomal RNA
Rfam family: Bacterial small subunit ribosomal RNA
Source: RNAcentral
GAUGAACGCUGGCGGCGUGCCUAAUACAUGCAAGUCGAGCGAACAGACGAGGAGCUUGCUCCUCUGACGUUAGCGGCGGACGGGUGAGUAACACGUGGAUAACCUACCUAUAAGACUGGGAUAACUUCGGGAAACCGGAGCUAAUACCGGAUAAUAUAUUGAACCGCAUGGUUCAAUAGUGAAAGACGGUUUUGCUGUCACUUAUAGAUGGAUCCGCGCCGCAUUAGCUAGUUGGUAAGGUAACGGCUUACCAAGGCAACGAUGCGUAGCCGACCUGAGAGGGUGAUCGGCCACACUGGCACUGAGACACGGUCCAGACUCCUACGGGAGGCAGCAGUAGGGAAUCUUCCGCAAUGGGCGAAAGCGUGACGGAGCAACGCCGCGUGAGUGAUGAAGGUCUUCGGAUCGUAAAACUCUGUUAUUAGGGAAGAACAAAUGUGUAAGUAACUAUGCACGUCUUGACGGUACCUAAUCAGAAAGCCACGGCUAACUACGUG